This 321-nucleotide ribosomal RNA is filed under the name Apiospora arundinis. RNAcentral describes it as "eukaryotic LSU rRNA". It matches the Rfam family "Eukaryotic large subunit ribosomal RNA", at positions 331 to 670 of the family's 3401-position model. Lineage: Eukaryota; Fungi; Ascomycota; Sordariomycetes; Amphisphaeriales; Apiosporaceae. The record is from RNAcentral.
AGACCGAUAGCGAACAAGUAGGAGUGAUCGAAAGAUGAAAAGCACUUUGAAAAGAGGGUUAAAUAGCACGUGAAAUUGUUGAAAGGGAAGGAUUUAUGACCAGACUUUUUCUAGGGGGAUCAUCCGGUGUUCUCACCGGUGCACUUCCCCUAGUUGAGGCCAGCAUCGGUUUCUGUCGGGGGAUAAAAGCUUUAGGAAUGUGGCUCCCUCCGGGGAGUGUUAUAGCCUGUUGCAUAAUACCCUGACGGGGACCGAGGUUCGCGCAUUGCAAGGAUGCUGGCGUAAUGGUUAUUAAUCACCCGUCUUGAAACACGGACCAAG